This 852-nucleotide ribosomal RNA is filed under the name Xanthoparmelia vicentii. RNAcentral's name for it is "SSU rRNA". It matches the Rfam family "Bacterial small subunit ribosomal RNA", at positions 407 to 1146 of the family's 1533-position model. The record is from RNAcentral. Lineage: Eukaryota; Fungi; Ascomycota; Lecanoromycetes; Lecanorales; Parmeliaceae.
GAGGAAUGUAUAGCAAUAGCUAGUUGCAUCAUAGUAGAUAUGAUGCAAGAUCGACUAUGUUGAAUAAAAUUCUAGGUAGAAUUAUGAUAAUGACAUUGUCUGCCUAUGUGUCUUGACCAAAUUACGUGCCAGCAGUCGCGGUAAUACGUAGAAGACUAGUGUUAUUCAUGUUUAAUCGGUUUAAAGGGUACCUAGACGGUAGAUCAAGCUUUCUAAUAAAGGAAAAGGACUAGUUUACUAGAGUUACUUAUGAGGGGGUAUUAAAGUACUGCUGGUGUAGAGAUGAAAUUCUGUCAUACCUCUUUUCAAAAGAAAAACCAUGGCACAGGUAUAGGCGAAGGCNUCCCCUUAUGUGAUAACUGACGUUGAGGGACGAAGGCUUUGUGUAGCGAACAGGAUUAGAUACCCCAGUAGUCGAAGCAGAAAAUGAUGAAUGUCAUAGAUUAGAUAUAUAAGUUUAUUCUAUAAAUGAAAGUGUAAGCAUUCCACCUCAUGAGUAAUUUGGCAACAUUGGAACUGAAAUCAUUAGACCGUUUCUGAAACCAGUAGUGAAGUAUGUUGUUUAAUUUGAUGUCCCGCAAAAAACCUUACCACAAUUUGAAUAUUUAUAUUGUUUAUUGUUUUAUUAUUAAUUAUUUUGAACGGAAAGAUCACGUNAAAAAAAAAAACAGAAAAUUAAGAAAAUAGUAAGAUAAUAGUAAGAAAAUUAAGAAAAAAGCAAUAAGAUAUAAUUACAAGCGUUGCACGGCUGUCUUCAGUUAAUGUCGCGAGACUUUGGUUAGUUCCAUUAAAUUAACGUAAACCCUUACUUUAUUUUUAUAUAGAGUAGUUCCCCGCUAUAUUGGAUAUGAU